This 749-nucleotide long non-coding RNA is filed under the name Felis catus (domestic cat). Its description in RNAcentral is "lncRNA (ENSFCAG00000051357.1)". The record is from RNAcentral. Lineage: Eukaryota; Metazoa; Chordata; Mammalia; Carnivora; Felidae.
UCUUUGCUUCGCUAGCUGAAGCGCUUUAUGACUCACCCCUGCCUUUCAGAUUUUCCAGGUGGAUGUCAGAUCUUGGUCCACUUCACUCACCAAACUCCUGCAUAAACACAGCAGGGCCUGAAGUUUCCUUGAAAACUUGCCUCGCUUACAAACGGCAAGAGGCCCUCCACCUCCCCUUGUGGAAGACGGGGAGAUGGUGAGAACGGCCGCGUGGCCCGCUGCAAACGAGUCCUCCUCAAGGGUCUCCAACUGCGAGUUCUCUGGGAAAGAUCAGCCCGGACUGAGCAAAACCACGUAUCCCUAUAACUUACUUCCUGCUUGCUUCAACCUCCAGCUAAUUACUCGAACAGCACCUUCGACGAAGAAAAGCUGACACAGAAACUGGACAGAGUCUGUGUCUCAAGUGCGCUGAGGAGAGAGCGUUUUACCAACAUAUGAAGUCCAAAAGUCUGGGAACCUCACUGUACAUCAUCAUCCACGACCCAGUGAAACAGUGGGAAGACAUUCCAGAGGUUUUGAAGACGGGCCAUUAGAUUCAAAUUCUUCUCUGACAGAUGCCAUUGGCAGGUAUGCAUGACAUCUAGCUUUAUACCUCUGUCUAUGGUUAGAAAAAGGCUCAGCUUUUUGCUGCCCUGUUCUUUUGAGACUUCCUCCAUUUCACUUCUUACCACCCGCAAUAGUUAUUUUUCAAUAGGUUUCGCCAGUCAUGCUAAACCAGUCAACAGCAUAAUGCACCUUCCCCGGGCGGG